CUCUGAGGCCGGAAGUAUGAACAGUGCUUUCUCAUCCUUUAUUGGAUGAGAAAUGCCAUUUAACAUCUACUGUUCAUACUCGGUUGUGAUCCUCGAUCUUCCAUCACGUGACCCGCCAGAUUCUGAAGACGCAUUCACACUCUCGGGAGUCGACCUUUACCGGAUUUGUCAGGAUUUGACCAACCAGGUCAGGCGUGGCUCUCCUGGUUCUUUUUUACUCGGAUUUGACUCUUGGCACGUACUGUACCUUGUUAGCAAAUUCGUAUUGGUCGUUGGUAUUUUCUGAGGUUAGUUGAUUUCUCCAGAUAGUGGUCAUAAGGCUACUCCUCAUUCAGACUUUAUCAAUCCUCCUAGUGCUGUACCUUUGGUUAGGAGGAGUUUACGGACUAACGGUAGCUGGGUACCUGGAUUGGAGUUUGUUCAUUAGUUAGUUUUUGGUUAGAAGUUUGAUUGUAGAGUUCAUUUAAGCUUUAGAUCUAGGUAUAUUUUAGUUUUAGAUUCGCUUCUGAAUUUGAUAGUUUUGGUUAGUUUUCUAGAUUUCCUGUUUUCUGUA
This 553-nucleotide long non-coding RNA is filed under the name Androctonus crassicauda. The record is from RNAcentral. Lineage: Eukaryota; Metazoa; Arthropoda; Arachnida; Scorpiones; Buthidae.